This 34-nucleotide non-coding RNA is filed under the name Oenococcus oeni PSU-1. RNAcentral also lists the same sequence under 1 other name. The record is from RNAcentral. Lineage: Bacteria; Bacillati; Bacillota; Bacilli; Lactobacillales; Lactobacillaceae.
AUGUGGUUAUGGAAAUAUUGUCCCGUAACUACUU